GACGAACGCUGGCGGCGUGCUUAACACAUGCAAGUCGAACGGAAAGGCCCUGCUUGCAGGGUGCUCGAGUGGCGAACGGGUGAGUAACACGUGGGUGAUCUGCCCCUUACUUUGGGAUAAGCCUGGGAAACUGGGUCUAAUACUGGAUAGGACCAUGCUGUAGGUGGUGUGGUGGAAAGAUUAGUUUCGGUAAGGGAUGAGCUCGCGGCCUAUCAGCUUGUUGGAGGGGUAAUGGCCUACCAAGGCGUCGACGGGUAGCCGGCCUGAGAGGGUGGACGGCCACAUUGGGACUGAGAUACGGCCCAGACUCCUACGGGAGGCAGCAGUGGGGAAUAUUGCACAAUGGGCGCAAGCCUGAUGCAGCGACGCCGCGUGGGGGAUGACGGCCUUCGGGUUGUAAACUCCUUUCAGCCAUGACGAAGCCCUUGUGGUGACGGUAGUGGUAGAAGAAGCACCGGCUAACUACGUG
Molecule: ribosomal RNA, 469 nt
Filed under: uncultured bacterium
Lineage: Bacteria
Description: partial 16S ribosomal RNA
Rfam family: Bacterial small subunit ribosomal RNA
Source: RNAcentral